UAUAUUUUAGGGUAAAAAGCCCCAAAAUUUUUGAUUUUUUUAGAAAUAGUUUGAUUCUUUAAAAUAUAA
This 69-nucleotide transfer RNA is filed under the name Trabala vishnou guttata. Its description in RNAcentral is "tRNA-Gln". The record is from RNAcentral. Lineage: Eukaryota; Metazoa; Arthropoda; Insecta; Lepidoptera; Lasiocampidae.